This 1411-nucleotide long non-coding RNA is filed under the name Polistes fuscatus (common paper wasp). Its description in RNAcentral is "uncharacterized LOC122518366, transcript variant X2". The record is from RNAcentral. Lineage: Eukaryota; Metazoa; Arthropoda; Insecta; Hymenoptera; Vespidae.
UUUACUUUUUUUUUUUUCUUUUUUUUUCAGAAGAUCGAUUACAGUGCAUCUACUAGGAUAUGAUUGCGGAUUCCACGGAGGACUCCUCAAUUCUUCUUAUAACCUUUGCUCUCUUGAAUAUAAUUUAUCCGUGAUUACACCGCACUUGAAUUCAAUGCUGCACUAACAUGAAUUAUUAAUACGGUUGGUUGUUAAAAAAAGGUGGCUGAAAUAGCACAGAUAUACGUCGGUUCUCGACAAAUAUAAAGAGAUUAAAAUCGCUGAAAGCUAAGAAUUUGCACAUUUAAGUCGUUCUGUGAUUUUUGUUAUCUUUAUAUUUCUUUUAUAUUUAUGAUUGUAAGAUUUUCGAUCGAGUAUGCAUUGAAAAAACACGCAUAAAUCUUUCGUGAAAAAGUAUUUUUAUUAAUGAAAAUCAGAAUACUUGUUAUUUAAUCGAGGAAAAGGAAGAUUAAUCGGAAUUUAAAGAUCGCCGCGCGCGAUACAUGACUGCUCCGAAAAUAUAUUUCGUGCCGACGAAUCGCGUUUCGCGUAUACUUCUUCAUCGCAAUAAAUAUAUUCGGUGCGAAGGAUACCAAGGAGAGAGGAGAAUAAAAAGAAUAUCAGAGAAAAAGACAUCGAGCAUAGCCAAAAGAGAUUAAUAUGCAAAGUAACGGAGCGUCGUUUCAUAGUCCAAAAGCUCGUACUGUACGCGUUUUAUCAUAAGGAAAAUCGAUUCCAACUGUCGUACAUAUUUUACUUCUCUCGUAUCUUCGCAUAAUCGUUGCGGAAGUUGCGAAAAGAAUAAAAGAAAAAAGCGGCCCUAGGGCGAGGAAAGAGUAAUGCACGAUUAAGACAAGCGGCGGACCCCGUUUGCAAUACUUUACCGAGAGCAAGACUACUCCCUCUCCCCCUGAAACCUCUCCCUUACCUUCCUAUCUCUUUUCUCCCCUUCUACCCUCUCUUUCGCGUCUAACUUAAACACGUCCACCCAAAUGUACACAUACAAACGCCGUCUGCAGCCCUUCCGACGACGACGACGACGACGACGACGACUAAUAUUCUCUCUCUCUACGAGCGAAUUCAAGAGUUGAAGAGGGAGUGAAACAUAAGAGGAGUAAAAAAGGGCGAGAGACAGAUAAAAGAAUAAUAAGAUAGAAAAGGAGGAAGAAGGUAAAGAAGAGUAGAAGAUAGUUGCAAAGCUUUUAAUUAUCGGUUGGAAGCAGACGCUGGCGUGGCUGAAAAUACGAAGCACAGGGGUGGUGGUAGUCAACGUAAUAAGUCACUAUAGGUUAGACCUAUAAUGAGUGCACAAUUAAACGAGUAUCAUAAUAAUGAACUAUAGAAUAAUCAACGAGUGUUAAAACUAAACUUUCGUGAGCACGGGAACGUGGCAAGUUCAUCAUCGUGUAUUAUUAUUCGAUUUGAAAGCGUG